Molecule: ribosomal RNA, 429 nt
Filed under: Bacillota bacterium
Lineage: Bacteria; Bacillati; Bacillota
Description: Firmicutes bacterium partial 16S ribosomal RNA
Rfam family: Bacterial small subunit ribosomal RNA
Source: RNAcentral
UAGGGAAUCUUCGGCAAUGGACGGAAGUCUGACCGAGCAACGCCGCGUGAGUGAAGAAGGUGUUCGGAUCGUAAAGCUCUGUUGAUAGAGAAGAACGUUGGUCGGAGUUGAAAAUCUACCAAGUUACGGUAACUAACCAGAAAGGGACGGCUAACUACGUGCCAGCAGCCGCGGUAAUACUUAGGUCCCGAGGGUUGUCCGGCUUUAUUGUGCGUAAAGCGAGCGCAGGCGGUGCUUUAAGUCUGAAGUUAAAGGCAGUGGCUUAACCAUUGUACGCCUUGGAAAGUCGAGGACGUGAGGGCAGAAGGAGGGAGUGGAUAUCCAAGUGUAGAGGUGAAAUGCGUAGAUAUAUGGAGGAACACCGGUGGCGAAGGCGGAUCUCUGGUCUGUAACUAACGAUGAGGCUCGAAAGCGUGGGGAGCAAACAGG